Molecule: small nuclear RNA, 107 nt
Organism: Sarcophilus harrisii (Tasmanian devil)
Lineage: Eukaryota; Metazoa; Chordata; Mammalia; Dasyuromorphia; Dasyuridae
Source: Ensembl
AUACUAGCUUUAGGAGUAAAUAUAUUAAAAUUAGAUCACACAGAGAAGGUUAGCAUGGUCUCUGUGCAAGGAUGACACACAAAUUUCAUGAAGAUCUUUAUCUAGUC